RNAcentral lists this ribosomal RNA (465 nucleotides) under Vreelandella stevensii. Its description in RNAcentral is "partial 16S ribosomal RNA". It matches the Rfam family "Bacterial small subunit ribosomal RNA", at positions 338 to 795 of the family's 1533-position model. The record is from RNAcentral. Lineage: Bacteria; Pseudomonadati; Pseudomonadota; Gammaproteobacteria; Oceanospirillales; Halomonadaceae.
CCUACGGGAGGCAGCAGUGGGGAAUAUUGGACAAUGGGGGGAACCCUGAUCCAGCCAUGCCGCGUGUGUGAAGAAGGCCCUCGGGUUGUAAAGCACUUUCAGUGAGGAAGAACGCCUGGUGGUUAAUACCCAUCAGGAAAGACAUCACUCACAGAAGAAGCACCGGCUAACUCCGUGCCAGCAGCCGCGGUAAUACGGAGGGUGCGAGCGUUAAUCGGAAUUACUGGGCGUAAAGCGCGCGUAGGUGGCUUGAUAAGCCGGUUGUGAAAGCCCCGGGCUCAACCUGGGAACGGCAUCCGGAACUGUCAAGCUAGAGUGCAGGAGAGGAAGGUAGAAUUCCCGGUGUAGCGGUGAAAUGCGUAGAGAUCGGGAGGAAUACCAGUGGCGAAGGCGGCCUUCUGGACUGACACUGACACUGAGGUGCGAAAGCGUGGGUAGCAAACAGGAUUAGAUACACGGGUAGUC